UGCGCGCGCGCGCCCGUGUGUGUGUGUGUGUGUGUGUGUGUGUGUGUGUGCAGCUGCGCGGGCGCGCCCGUGUGUGUGUGUGUGUGUGUGUGUGUGUGUGUAAGAGUGAGAGAGGCUUGAAAAGAGGAGGGAUGGAACCAGAGUGAAGGACUGAUGCUUCCCCGCGCCUACACCGCAUGUUCCGAAAAGAAGAGAAGAAAGGUCAGGUAUCCUGACCGCAGUUCUUUCGCUCGCAUGAUGGGCAUCCUGGAUUGCUGGAUCAGUGAGGCAGGAGCUGGGCUGAGUACUGGAGAUGUACAACAGUGAACACGACAGGAUCCUGACCCUUCCAGAAAACCGAGGAGAAAGGGCGUGGCUUUUCCACUUCUGAAGGGGACACACCGGCAGGGGAGGUGCAUACCCAGAGGCAGACCCUGCUCUGGCGGCAGAACCAGGACUAGAACUGAGGACUUCCAGCACUCGAGCUGUCUUCUCUGUUCCAUCCCACAGGCUGCCUGGGAAAGACAGGCCCUGGUCUUCAUGCUGCUCGGGGCACAGCAGGGAGAAGAUGUGCUGCCCAUUCUGACCCUCACCCCCAGCUCCUCGGGGGUCCCCAGUAUUCCCCUCCCCAAACAGCCUCAUGGGAACAAACCUGUUCUACAGAUACCAUGAUUCCCACCCCGGCCCCAUGUUACAGGCUCUCCUCCUAAUCACAAAGCAGCUGCCAGCAGCUCUAGCCAUGCGUCCUAAUCUCCCACAGCUCCAGCAGAAACAGAGACUCUUUUCCCAACAGUUCUAACAGCAUUCGCCAAACCAAGUCUCAUUGGCUGUUACUGAAAUAUGUAUCCAUUCCUUGGCCAGUCAGUGUGACCAAGGGUUCUGAUUGGCCAGGCCACCGAGCCUGAGGGUCUCAGAGGUACCUGGUGUUUGAAGUCCAUGUGGGUCUAGCUAUCCCAGCCUCAGGACUCAGCAAGAUCCAAGUGUGAAAAGUGAAAGUGAAAGUUGAUCAGUCGUGUCCGACUCUUUACAACCCCAUGGACUAUGCAUGGAAUUCUCCAGGCCAGAAUACUGGAGUGGAUAGCCAUUUCCUUCACCAGGGGAUCUUCCCAAUGCAGGUCCAAGAAGAAUCCUCCAGAAUUUGUAGAGAGGCUUAUAUUUCAUAGGCCUUCAAUAAAUGGCAACAGUUUUUAUUGGUAUUCUUCCUCCACUUUUCCUCUGUUAUCAUCUUGAUGGUAAUGUCUAGCAUACAGUGUGUACCCCAGGAAUCCUUAGUGGUUAACUGAUUUGGAUAGGGGGUUGCUGAUACCACGUACCAAGUCAGAGUCUGGAUAGAUUGGACAGCUAUAGGUCUGCAGACAAAAUGAGACUCGUUAAAAGAGCUAUUCGAUUUUUUAUUUUGUCUUGUCUUCCAUAACAGAACUGAAGCUAUAGUCUAGAGCUCCUGGAGAGUAUCACCAGACUCUCUAGGAACAGACUCCCCUAUCACACACACCCACCCACCAGCCUGUCUAAGAGGAUGUAGUAAGGAGGAGCCCGUUAGGAGGUUGGUCCAGGAGGGCAGGCAGAGCUUGUCAGAUCCAAUUAGACUAUUUCUUGACUCACCCGAUGCUGUAGAGAGGUUGCCUGGGAUGGGGCUGGGGACCAGGAUGUUCCAGCCUGAUCCUUUUCUCCUUGGGCCACUAGCUACUCUGAUUCAGUUGGGCAGUUUGAGUUUCUGUGAGGGAUUGGAGGUCCAUUAAGUCCUGACCAACAGUAGAUGCUGUUUAUCAAAUGUGCCCUGGGCCCCAUACUUGGCACUUUACAUGAUUUAAAUACAGG
Molecule: long non-coding RNA, 1797 nt
Organism: Bos taurus (domestic cattle)
Lineage: Eukaryota; Metazoa; Chordata; Mammalia; Artiodactyla; Bovidae
Source: Ensembl